UUACUUGCAGCUGCAGCAUUAUCAAGAUUCACAUAGAAAUCAUCUGGAGCAAAAUAUAUGUUUCUAAAAAUCUUCCCCCUAAGUUUUUUGAAUAUGAGAAUCUUGAUGAUGUUGCAUCGGCAAAUAA
Nicotiana attenuata is the source of this 127-nucleotide microRNA precursor. It matches the Rfam family "mir-172 microRNA precursor family". Rfam says of the family: mir-172 has been experimentally verified in Arabidopsis thaliana. This family is thought to target mRNAs coding for APETALA2-like transcription factors. The mature sequence is excised from the 3' arm of the hairpin. NCBI's taxonomy places the organism in Eukaryota, Viridiplantae, Streptophyta, Magnoliopsida, Solanales, Solanaceae. The record is from Rfam.